This 419-nucleotide ribosomal RNA is filed under the name bacterium. RNAcentral describes it as "partial 16S ribosomal RNA". It matches the Rfam family "Bacterial small subunit ribosomal RNA", at positions 355 to 776 of the family's 1533-position model. The record is from RNAcentral.
UGGGGGAUAUUGCACAAUGGGCGAAAGCCUGAUGCAGCGACGCCGCGUGGGGGAUGAAGGCCUUCGGGUUGUAAACUUCUUUUGCUCUGAACAAGGCAUGCUAAUGGGUGUGUUGAGUGUAGGGGUUGAUUAGCGCCGGCUAACUACGUGCCAGCAGCCGCGGUAAUACGUAGGGCGCGAGCGUUGUCCGGAAUUAUUGGGCGUAAAGGGCUUGUAGGUGGCUGGUUGCGUCUGUCGUGAAAGCUCAUGGCUUAACUGUGGGUUUGCGGUGGGUACGGGCUGGCUUGAGUGCAGUAGGGGAGGCUGGAAUUCCUGGUGUAGCGGUGGAAUGCGCAGAUAUCAGGAGGAAUACCGGUGGCGAAGCCGGGUCUCUGGGCUGUUACUGACACUGAGGAGCGAAAGCAUGGGGAGCGAACAGG